RNAcentral lists this ribosomal RNA (312 nucleotides) under Rhaphiodon vulpinus. RNAcentral describes it as "partial small subunit ribosomal RNA". It matches the Rfam family "Bacterial small subunit ribosomal RNA", at positions 868 to 1344 of the family's 1533-position model. The record is from RNAcentral. Lineage: Eukaryota; Metazoa; Chordata; Actinopteri; Characiformes; Characidae.
CCCGCCAGGGAACUACAAGCGCCAGCUUAAAACCCAAAGGACUUGACGGUGUCUCAGACCCACCUAGAGGAGCCUGUUCUAGAACCGAUAAUCCCCGUUAAACCUCACCAUCUUUUGCCUCUUUCCGCCUAUAUACCGCCGUCGCAAGCUUACCCCGUGAGGGGCCAAUAGUAAGCAAAAAGGGUAAAACCCAAAACGUCAGGUCGAGGUGUAGCUUACAAGAUGGGAAGAAAUGGGCUACAUUUUCUAUAGUCAGAAAACUACGAAUAGCGCCGUGAAACCAGCACUGGAAGGUGGAUUUAGUAGUAAAAA